CGAGGAAUCUUGCGCAAUGGGCGAAAGCCUGACGCAGCAACGCCGCGUGGGCGAUGAAGGCCCUCGGGUCGUAAAGCCCUUUUGCGGGGGACGAAAUCCUGACGGUACCCCGCGAAAAAGCCACGGCUAACUACGUGCCAGCAGCCGCGGUAAUACGUAGGUGGCAAGCGUUGUCCGGAUUUAUUGGGCGUAAAGAGCGCGUAGGCGGUCCGUCAAGUCCGAGGUGAAACCUCCCGGCCCAACUGGGAGAAGCCCUUGGAUACUGGCAGACUAGAGGGAAGCAGAGGAGAGUGGAAUUCCCGGUGUAGUGGUGGAAUGCGUAGAUAUCGGGAGGAACACCAGUGGCGAAGGCGGCUCUCUGGGCUUCCCCUGACGCUGAGGCGCGAAAGCGUGGGGAGCAAACCGGAUUAGAUACCCGGGUAGUCCACGCCGUAAACGUUGGACACUAGGUGUAGGGGGUAUCGACCCCCUCUGUGCCGAAGCUAACGCGUUAAGUGUCCCGCCUGGGGAGUACGGCCGCAAGGCUA
This 527-nucleotide ribosomal RNA is filed under the name uncultured bacterium. RNAcentral describes it as "bacterial SSU rRNA". It matches the Rfam family "Bacterial small subunit ribosomal RNA", at positions 355 to 896 of the family's 1533-position model. The record is from RNAcentral.